RNAcentral lists this ribosomal RNA (756 nucleotides) under uncultured Actinomycetes bacterium. Its description in RNAcentral is "bacterial SSU rRNA". It matches the Rfam family "Bacterial small subunit ribosomal RNA", at positions 97 to 876 of the family's 1533-position model. Lineage: Bacteria; Bacillati; Actinomycetota; Actinomycetes. The record is from RNAcentral.
GGCGAACGGGUGAGUAACACCGUGGGUGAUCUGCCUUGCACUUCGGGAUAAGCUUGGGAAACUGGGUCUAAUACCGGAUAGGACAGCUGUUUAGUGUCAGUUGUGGAAAGUUUUUUCGGUGCAAGAUGAGCUUGCGGCCUAUCAGCUUGUUGGUGGGGUAAUGGCCUACCAAGGCGUCGACGGGUAGCCGGCCUGAGAGGGUGUACGGCCACAUUGGGACUGAGAUACGGCCCAGACUCCUACGGGAGGCAGCAGUGGGGAAUAUUGCACAAUGGGCGGAAGCCUGAUGCAGCGACGCCGCGUGGGGGAUGAAGGCCUUCGGGUUGUAAACUCCUUUCGACAGGGACGAAGCGUAAGUGACGGUACCUGUAUAAGAAGCACCGGCUAACUACGUGCCAGCAGCCGCGGUAAUACGUAGGGUGCGAGCGUUGUCCGGAAUUACUGGGCGUAAAGAGCUCGUAGGUGGUUUGUCGCGUCGUCUGUGAAAUUCCGGGGCUUAACUCCGGGCGUGCAGGCGAUACGGGCUGACUUGAGUGCUGUAGGGGAGACUGGAAUUCCUGGUGUAGCGGUGAAAUGCGUAGAUAUUAAAAAGAAUACCGGUGGCGAAGGCGACUUACUGGGCUCAUUCUGACGCUGAGGAACGAAAGCGUGGGUAGCAAACAGGAUUAGAUACCCUGGUAGUCCACGCUGUAAACGAUGAGUGCUAGGUAUCGGAAAAAUUCGGUGCCGCAGUUACACAUUAAGCACUCCGCCUGG